Molecule: long non-coding RNA, 1228 nt
Filed under: Pogona vitticeps (central bearded dragon)
Lineage: Eukaryota; Metazoa; Chordata; Lepidosauria; Squamata; Agamidae
Description: lncRNA (ENSPVIG00000008504.1)
Source: RNAcentral
AUGCAAUCUGACAAGAAUGAUGGGCUGGAUCCCAACUGGCUCUUCCACAAGCCCUCUGCCACCCUGAGAAAGAAAGUCUUUUUUUUUUUGGCCUCUUUUGUAAGGGUUUUGGGCACUUCUGAGAAAUUCCUCAGAAUGCAGAGCUGCCAUUCUUAUUUGGGGACUGUGAGAUUUGAGAAACCACACACCAUUCUGCACAGCUUUGCGGCUUUUCUGCCUGCUUCAUAGAAAGCCUCUUUAAAGACUUUAACAACAUGGCUUUUUCCUUUGGAGCUUCCGGUUAUUGCUGCCCAUUAAAUGAGAAAACUGAGAGAGGUAUUCUUGUUGCUUUGUGUUUAAAGGACUUUCUUUGAUUAUUCUAAAGGCUGAGAAAUUCCUCAGAAUGCUGAGCUGCCAUUCUUACCUUUCCAUGAACAGGGGGACUGUGAGAUUUGAGAAACCACACGCCAUUCUGCACAGCUUUGCGGCUUUUCUGCGGCCUCUUUUGUAAGGGUUUUGGGCACUUCUGAGAAAUUCCUCAGAAUGCAGAGCUGCCAUUCUUAUUUGGGGACUGUGAGAUUUGAGAAACCACACACCAUUCUGCACAGCUUUGCGGCUUUUCUGCCUGCUUCAUAGAAAGCCUCUUUAAAGACUUUAACAACAUGGCUUUUUCCUUUGGAGCUUCCGGUUAUUGCUGCCCAUUAAAUGAGAAAACUGAGAGAGGUAUUCUUGUUGCUUUGUGUUUAAAGGACUUUCUUUGAUUAUUCUAAAUUUGCUGUUGCUAAUUAUCUCUGGUGCUUUUAAAAUGUUAGUUUGAAGAAAGGUGGAUGAUAGGCUCUAGGCAUUAGGAGUCCAAAGAAUUCCCAUUGUUUACUGAAUUUAUUCUGACCACCAGCACCUUCAACUUCCAUGGAUGUCCAGCCAAGCCCUGUAUUUAGCCUAAUAUCAAAAAUGCCAUCAGAUAAAUUAGGAAGAGGAAAGGAGGUGGGGUGGGGACCAGUUAAUCAAGAUCUUCUCGCUCAGCAAUGUUCAUGACUGGGAGCACUGGAAGAUGAAAACUUUCCUGCUGCUAGAUCCACCCUACCCCACAGCCUCUCUUGCUUUGAACUGAAGGUAGGAAAGGGACUCCAGGAGUCCUGGGGGGGGCUCAUAAUGCUGAAAACCAACUGUGUACUUUCAUUCACUUUCAAAGCACUCUAUGACCUGCACAUACAGUGGUCUGAAGUCUGCAAAAAGUUGGAGGUUACAG